AUUUGUUCCACUCUGCAUGUCUACACUGUUACCUUAUUUCUUUCCCCAAAUGUCUCCUAACAACAGUGUCUACUUCCCAACUCAACAACACCUGUCUGGGCUCUUCUUACGACCUUCAUGACUUUGGGCAAGUCACAUGCUUCACUUAUCUCCACUAUAAAAUAAGGGGACUGCUAAUUAUGGGUGUAUAAGCAAAUCAAGAAGAUUGUUGUACCCAGAGUUGGUAAAGGGACACUUGUAAGCUCCUUCUGAACAGUUGCCUCCUGCCCCAUACCAUCUAUUGUACUAGAGGGUUAUCAGGAACCAAAGCUUGACACGUCUCUGAGAGGGAGGGAACAGAUAAAGAGAAACACCACUUCCUCUCCCAGGCAGAGGUGUCCCAGAGAAGGAAGUUGGAUCUAUGUUGAGCUGAAAGCUGGAGGUUCCAGUCCCAUUCCCUGUUGUCAGCCAAAGUUCCAUUUCCCCCUGCAGUCCUUGCAGUGCAUACCACAUCUCUCUCGUCCACACUAAGAUGUUCUUAAAUUUGGUUCCUUCUAAUACAUUCAUGUUCAACUCUUCAUGACUUCUCUUUGGGGUCUUCUUGGUGACUGGAGUAGUUUGCCAUCUCCUUUUCAAGGUCAUUUAACUGAUGAGAAAACCAAGGAAUACUAGAGGGGACUUGCUGUGCAUGUGUCAGAGAGAUCACAAAGAGACCCACAAGGUGAAACAAUUAUAUCUGGUAUUCCUUUAAUUGUCAAGUGAUACCCAGUAGUAUUUCCAUGGACUUCAGGAAGGCAGGGGAGGGCUGUUACUCCUUCAGUAGCAUCCCAAUUGUCCCCUGAGAUACCCACAAAGGACACACAUAGUCUUGUUGCCUUUUGCAUUCAAGAUGGCCCUGUGACAUCUCUAAUCAUUUGACAGCUGUAUUAUUUU
Molecule: non-coding RNA, 912 nt
Organism: Monodelphis domestica (gray short-tailed opossum)
Lineage: Eukaryota; Metazoa; Chordata; Mammalia; Didelphimorphia; Didelphidae
Source: RefSeq, a predicted model, not a curated record